CAUUGUUAUUAUGAUAUUAGUAAUAUCAUAAUUGGGAUAAAUUUUCCUCACACGUGAAUAGAUAUAUUUCCUUGGGAUACAUCCCUACACACUAAAUUAGAGAUAAAAUUAUUCAGGCAUACAUACAUAUAUAUCUCUCACUCUCUCUCACUCUCUCCCUCUCGAUCUCUCUCUCACUCUCUCUCACUCUCUCCCUCUCGAUCUCUCUCGCUCUCUCUCACUCUCUCUCCCUCUCUCACUUCCACCGGCUUCCCUCCCCUCUCCCACAUUCCUUCUCUUUCUCCCCCUUAAAUGAAACCCACAUGCACACAUUAAGAAGCCUCUAAAAAGCCUAACCUAUCUAGCCAACACACUCCCCAUUUCAAGCUCACACAUGCACAUGCACACCCUUCUCUCCCUCCCCCCCUCCCCCCCUUG
This 417-nucleotide long non-coding RNA is filed under the name Salvia miltiorrhiza (redroot sage). RNAcentral's name for it is "long non-coding RNA (SMIL_LNC014324)". Lineage: Eukaryota; Viridiplantae; Streptophyta; Magnoliopsida; Lamiales; Lamiaceae. The record is from RNAcentral.